RNAcentral lists this ribosomal RNA (166 nucleotides) under Enneapterygius sp. KBF-I 240. Its description in RNAcentral is "partial 12S ribosomal RNA". The record is from RNAcentral. Lineage: Eukaryota; Metazoa; Chordata; Actinopteri; Blenniiformes; Tripterygiidae.
CACCGCGGUUAUACGAGAGGCUCAAGUUGACUAAAUCUCGGCGUAAAGAGUGAACAUCAUACAUUAUACUAAAGUCGAAUACCCUCAGAACUGUUAUACGCUCCCGAGGGUUAGAAGAUCAAACGAAGGUAACUUUAAAAACUUUUAAUUCACGAAAGCUGUGGAA